Molecule: ribosomal RNA, 468 nt
Filed under: uncultured bacterium
Lineage: Bacteria
Description: partial 16S ribosomal RNA
Rfam family: Bacterial small subunit ribosomal RNA
Source: RNAcentral
GAUGAACGCUGGCGGCGUGCCUAACACAUGCAAGUCGAACGGAAAGGCCCUGCUUUUGUGGGGUUCUCGAGUGGCGAACGGGUGAGUAACGCGUGAGUAACCUGCCCUUCAUUUUGGUAUAACUUCAGGAAACUGGGGCUAAUCCCGUACUGCAUCUCCUCCUCCAUGGUGGGCGUUGGAAAUUCUCGGCUGGUGGGGAUGGACUCGCGGCUUAUCAGCUUGUUGGUGGGGUAGGGGCUUACCAAGGCUUUGACGGGUAGCCGGCAUGAGAGGGUGACCGGCCACAUUGGGACUGAGAGACGGCCCAGACUCCUACGGGAGGCAGCAGUGGGGAAUAUUGCACAAUGGGCGAAAGCCUGAUGCAGCGACGCCGCGUGCGGGAUGGCGGCCUUCGGGUUGUAAACAGCUUUCGGCUGUGACGAAGCGUGAGUGACGGUAAUGGGAGAAGAAGCACCGGCUAACUACGUG